RNAcentral lists this ribosomal RNA (428 nucleotides) under uncultured archaeon. RNAcentral's name for it is "bacterial SSU rRNA". It matches the Rfam family "Archaeal small subunit ribosomal RNA", at positions 474 to 903 of the family's 1478-position model. The record is from RNAcentral.
CACCAGCCCCUCGAGUGGUGGGAUGAUUAUUUGGCCUAAAGCGUCCGUAGCCGGCCGGGUAAGUUUCCCGUUAAAUCCAGCGUCUCAAGCGUUGGACUGCGGGAAAUACCGCCUGGCUAGAGAGUGGGAGAGGUCAGCGGUAUUCUGGGGGUAGGGGCGAAAUCCUUUGAUCCCCGGAGGACCACCAGUGGCGAAGGCUGCUGACUAGAACACGUCUGACGGUCAGGGACGAAAGCUGGGGUAGCGAACCGGAUUAGAUACCCGGGUAGUCCCAGCCGUAAACGAUGUAUGCUAGGUGUUGGGUUGGCCACGAGCCACCCCAGUGCCGCAGGGAAGCCGUUAAGCAUGCCGCCUGGGAAGUACGAUCGCAAGAUUGAAACUUAAAGGAAUUGGCGGGGGAGCACCACCAGGCGUGAAGCCUGCGGUUU